RNAcentral lists this transfer RNA (87 nucleotides) under Nanobdellota archaeon. RNAcentral's name for it is "tRNA-Gln". It matches the Rfam family "tRNA". Rfam says of the family: Transfer RNA (tRNA) molecules are approximately 80 nucleotides in length. Their secondary structure includes four short double-helical elements and three loops (D, anti-codon, and T loops). Further hydrogen bonds mediate the characteristic L-shaped molecular structure. tRNAs have two regions of fundamental functional importance: the anti-codon, which is responsible for specific mRNA codon recognition, and the 3' end, to which the tRNAs corresponding amino acid is attached (by aminoacyl-tRNA synthetases). tRNAs cope with the degeneracy of the genetic code in two manners: having more than one tRNA (with a specific anti-codon) for a particular amino acid; and 'wobble' base-pairing, i.e. permitting non-standard base-pairing at the 3rd anti-codon position. The record is from RNAcentral. Lineage: Archaea; Nanobdellati; Nanobdellota.
AGCCCCGUAGUGUAGUGGCCAAUCAAUUUGGGCAAAUCAUCUCAGACUCUGGAUCUGGGGACUGCGGUUCGAAUCCGCGCGGGGCUA